Molecule: ribosomal RNA, 465 nt
Filed under: uncultured bacterium
Lineage: Bacteria
Description: partial 16S ribosomal RNA
Rfam family: Bacterial small subunit ribosomal RNA
Source: RNAcentral
CCUACGGGGGGCAGCAGUGGGGAAUAUUGCGCAAUGGGCGAAAGCCUGACGCAGCGACGCCGCGUGAGGGAUGAAGGUCUUCGGAUCGUAAACCUCUGUCAGCAGGGAAGAACGGUCACUGUGCUAAUCAGCAGUGAAUUGACGGUACCUGCAAAGGAAGCACCGGCUAACUCCGUGCCAGCAGCCGCGGUAAUACGGAGGGUGCGGGCGUUAAUCGGAAUUACUGGGCGUAAAGCGCUCGUAGGCGGUAUGUCAAGUCAAGGGGGAAAUCCCCGCGCUCAACGUGGGAAGUGCCUUUGAAACUGGCAAACUGGAGUGUGUGAGAGGAUAGUGGAAUUCCAGGUGUAGGAGUGAAAUCCGUAGAUAUCUGGAGGAACAUCAGUGGCGAAGGCGACUAUCUGGCACAUAACUGACGCUGAGGAGCGAAAGCGUGGGUAGCAAACAGGAUUAGAUACCCCAGUAGUC